RNAcentral lists this ribosomal RNA (1500 nucleotides) under uncultured Bordetella sp. Its description in RNAcentral is "partial 16S-23S ribosomal RNA intergenic spacer". It matches the Rfam family "Bacterial small subunit ribosomal RNA". Lineage: Bacteria; Pseudomonadati; Pseudomonadota; Betaproteobacteria; Burkholderiales; Alcaligenaceae. The record is from RNAcentral.
AGUUUGAUCAUGGCUCAGAUUGAACGCUGGCGGGAUGCUUUACACAUGCAAGUCGAACGGCAGCACGGACUUCAGUCUGGUGGCGAGUGGCGAACAGGUGAGUAAUGUAUCUGCCUAGUAGCGGGGGGAUAACUACGCAGCGUAGCUAAUACCGCAUACGCCCUUCGGGGGAAAGCGGAGACCUUCGGGCCUCGCACUAUUAAACGGCCGAUAUCGGAUUAGCUAGUUGGUGGGGUAACAGCCCGCAGGCGACGAUCCGCCAGCUGGUUUGAGAGGACGACCAGCCACGCGGGACUGGGACACGGCCCAGACUCCUACGGGAGGCAGCAGUGGGGAAUUUUGGACAAUGGGGAAACCCUGAUCCAGCCAUCCCGCGUGUGCAGUGAAGGCCUUCGGGUUGUAAAGCACUUUUGGCAGGAAAAGAAACGGCACGGGAUAAUACCCCAUGCAACUGACGGUACCUGCAGAAUAAGCACCGGCUAACUACGUGCCAGCAGCCGCGGUAAUACGUAGGGGUGCAAGCGUUAAUCGGAAUUACUAUGACGUAAAGCGUGCGCAGGCGGUUCCGGGAAAGAAAGAUGUGAAAUCCCAGAGCUUAAACUUUUGGAACUGCAUUUUUAACUACCGAGCUAGAGUGUGUCAGAGGAGGUGGAAUUCCGCGUGCUUGAUUAGAGGAAAUGCGUAGAUAUGCGGAGGAACACCGAUGGCGAAGGCAGCUAUAAGGAUGUACUGACGCUCAUGCACGAAAGCGUGGGGAGCAAACAGGAUUAGAUACCCUGGUAGUCCACGCCCUAAACGAUGUCAACUAGCUGUUGGGGCCUUCAGUGCUUGGUAGCGCAGCCUAACGCGUGAAGUUGACCGCCUGGGGGAAAUGCGGUCGCAAGAUUAAAACUCAAAAGGAAUUGACGGGGACCGCACAAGCGGUGGAUGAUGUGGAUUAAUUCGAUGCAACGCGAAAAACCUUACCUACCCUUGACAUGUCUGGAAUCCCGAAGAGAUUUGGUGCUCGCAGAGAACCGGAACACAGGUGCUGCAUGGCUGUCGUCAGCUCGUGUCGUGAGAUGUUGGGUUGGUCCACCAACAAGGCGCAACCCUUGUCAUUAGUUGCUACGAGGGCGCCUCUGGCUGGAGCUGCCGGUGACAAACCGGAGGAAGGUGGGGAUAGCGUCAAGUCCUCAUGGCGGCCCUUAUGGGUGGAAACACGUCAUACAAUGGUCGGGACAAUCGCCAACCCGCGAGGGGGAGCCAAUCCAGAAACCCCGAUCGUAGUCCGGAUCGCAGUCUGCAACUCGACUGAAGUCCGGAAUCGCCUGAUAAUCGCGGAUCAGCAUCGCGGUGAAUACGUUCCCGGAGUCUGUACACCACCGCCCGUCACACCAUGGGAGUGGGUUUUUACCAGAAGUAGAUUAGCCUAAUAACAAUAAGGAGGGCGAUUACCACGGUAGGAUUCGCUGACUGGGGGUGAAGUCGUAACAAGGUAACUCUGUUACUGAUGCUCAG